GUCUACAGCCAUACCAUUCUGAUCAUACUCAAUCUCACUGAUUUUAGAAGCUAAACAGUCAGGCCUGGUUAGUACUUGCAUGGAUACCACCUAGGAAAAUUGGAUGCUGUAAUUU
This 115-nucleotide ribosomal RNA is filed under the name Phascolarctos cinereus (koala). Lineage: Eukaryota; Metazoa; Chordata; Mammalia; Diprotodontia; Phascolarctidae. The record is from RNAcentral.